GGCGGCCAACAUGAAAGGAGGUGGCCAACAUGAUAACGAGGCGGCCAGGCAGAAACGCGGAUGGAAAGAAAAACCAGGAUGCGAAAACGAAAGAGAAAUGAAGGAACUGCGAUGGUGAGGAAGGUGACAGCUACCUCGGCGACGGUGAGGAAGGUGACGGCAACCUCAGCGACGGUGGCAGCGCCGACAAUGGCGGCAGUGACAUCAACGAUGGCAAAAAAGACAUCAUCACAGGUUUGUAUUUUAAUCGUUUUAUGUUUCUUUCAAAAAAACCUACAUUUUUUAAAUAAAAAGUUAUUGUUUGAUGAUGAUAAAGAGCAAGAAGGAAAGACACCUUAAUGUUUCAUUUUUGUUGUUUAUUACUGCAACUCUCUGAUUUCUUCCCCUUCCCCUUCUCUGUAUGUUUUUUAUUAGUGGUGUUCAAUUUUUUUCCUCUCCUUUUUGAAAUUUCAUAAGGUGUUUUUAUAGAGUUUUUUAUAUGUUUAGUUGUUUUCUGGUCUGUCUUGGUCCUUCUCUAUCUAUUUCCUGUUUGAUGUUUUGAUUGCUUUGCUCAUCAUCUUCAUUUUUAUGCACCUUUGAUGCCUUCAUAAUUUUAGAUUAUCUGUUCUGAUCAUGUUCAUUGUUGAGCUUUUAUUUGUCUUUUAGUUAUUUUUUUAAACUCAAAAAUUUGUCAUUUAGUUCUGCAUAAUGUGUACAAAUACUGACUUAUAAAUUAUGUUUUUAUGUUUCUCUAAUUAGUAACAAAGCAAAGAUCAAUGACAUUGCAUCUGAAACAGAAAGGCAACAACAAAGCAGAGCCAAACACUGCAUCAAAAACAGAGAGGCAACAACAGCAAGAAAUUAAAAAUUAUUGUAAUUUAAUUUAGUUUGGUUUAAAUCUUAUUGUAAUUUAAUUUGAUUUAAUAUUUAU
RNAcentral lists this long non-coding RNA (910 nucleotides) under Cicer arietinum (chickpea). RNAcentral describes it as "long non-coding RNA (CARI_LNC000326)". The record is from RNAcentral. Lineage: Eukaryota; Viridiplantae; Streptophyta; Magnoliopsida; Fabales; Fabaceae.